This 404-nucleotide unclassified non-coding RNA is filed under the name soil metagenome. RNAcentral's name for it is "partial contains 5.8S ribosomal RNA, internal transcribed spacer 2, and large subunit ribosomal RNA". The stretch from base 2 to 120 matches the Rfam family "5.8S ribosomal RNA", at positions 37 to 154 of the family's 154-position model. The record is from RNAcentral.
GUGAAGAACGUAGCGAAAUGCGAUAAGUAAUGUGAAUUGCAGAAUUCAGUGAAUCAUCGAAUCUUUGAACGCACCUUGCGCCCUUUGGCCAUUCCGAAGGGCAUGCCUGUUUGAGUAUCAUGAACACCUCAACUCUUCAUGGUUUUCCAUGAUGAGCUUGGACUUUGGGGGUCUUGCUGGCCUGUGGGUCGGCUCCUCUCAAAUGAAUCAGCUUGCCGGUUUUUGGUGGGCAUCACAGGUGUGAUAACUAUCUACGCUUGUGGUUUUCCACCAGGGUAACCUUCAGCAGUGGAGGUUAACUGGAGCUUACAAAUGUCUCUCCUCUGUGAGGACAGCCCUUUGAAUGUUUGAUCUCAAAUCAGGUAGGACUACCCGCUGAACUUAAGCAUAUCAAUAAGCGGAGA